UAUACCGCGUGUGUGAAGAAGGCCCUAGGGUUGUAAAGCACUUUAAGUUGGGAAGAAAAGUUAUUGGUUAAUACCCAAUAACCGUGACAUUACCAUCAGAAUAAGGACCGGCUAAUUCCGUGCCAGCAGCCGCGGUAAUACGGAAGGUCCAAGCGUUAAUCGGAAUUACUGGGCGUAAAGCGCGCGUAGGUGGUUUAUUAAGUUGGAUGUGAAAUCCCCGGGCUCAACCUGGGAACUGCAUCCAAAACUGAUUCACUAGAGUACGAUAGAGGGAGGUAGAAUUCACAGUGUAGCGGUGGAAUGCGUAGAUAUUGUGAAGAAUACCAAUGGCGAAGGCAGCCUCCUGGAUCUGUACUGACACUGAGGUGCGAAAGCGUGGGUAGCGAACAGGAUUAGAUACCCUGGUAGUCCACGCCGUAAACGAUGUCAACUAGCUGUUGGAAAACUAUGUUUUUCAGUGGCGCAGCUAACGUAGUAAGUUGACCGCCUGGGGAGUACGGCCGCAAGGCUAAAACUCAAAUGAAUUGACGGGGACCCGCACAAGCGGUGGAGCAUGUGGUUUAAUUCGAUGCAACGCGAAAAACCUUACCUAUACUUGACAUACUUGGAAUGCUUUGUAAUGAAGCAGUGCCUUCGGGAGCCAAGAUACAGGUGCUGCAUGGCUGUCGUCAGCUCGUGUCGUGAGAUGUUCCGUUAAGUCGGAUAACGAGCGCAACCCUUACCCUUAUUUGCCAGCGAUUCGGUCGGGAACUAUAAGGGGACUGCCGGUGAUAAACCGGAGGAAGGUGAGGACGACGUCAAGUCAUCAUGGCCCUUACGUAUAGGGCUACACACGUGCUACAAUGGAGAAUACAGACGGACGCUAAGCCGCGAGGUGGUGCUAAUCCUAGAAAAUUCUUCGUAGUCCGGAUUGGAGUCUGCAACUCGACUCCAUGAAGUC
This 940-nucleotide ribosomal RNA is filed under the name uncultured SAR86 cluster bacterium. Its description in RNAcentral is "bacterial SSU rRNA". It matches the Rfam family "Bacterial small subunit ribosomal RNA", at positions 393 to 1327 of the family's 1533-position model. Lineage: Bacteria; Pseudomonadati; Pseudomonadota; Gammaproteobacteria. The record is from RNAcentral.